Vicia villosa (hairy vetch) is the source of this 1062-nucleotide long non-coding RNA. RefSeq lists it as uncharacterized. The record is from RefSeq and is a predicted model, not a curated record. The transcript has 3 exons. Lineage: Eukaryota; Viridiplantae; Streptophyta; Magnoliopsida; Fabales; Fabaceae.
AUUCUUUGGAAACAGAUAAAAGAGCUUAUUACCUACUCUGCCUGUUUUUGUCUUGAAAAUUAUAGAAAUAGAAAUUAGAAACACAUUAAGAAAUUUCAUUUUUCCUAUUGGUUUGAUUGGUUGAGUUUCAUGGUUAUUACUUGGUUUGAUUGGUUGAGUUUCAUGGUUUGGAAGGUUUUGUUCAGGUAGCAUGCUUGAUGCUCCAUGUAUUUCACAUAUAUAUCCAUUUUUUUGUGGCUUCAAUUUUCCUGUAAGUUACCAUACUACCGACGUCACGAAAGGGAGCUGCAUUUUUGGUGGCAUGUAAAUGUUAUAUUUAUUCUGCACAACUUCUAACAAAGUAACCAAAUCCAUGUCGUUACCCGUAAUCGAGAGCUUGAUGCCUGGAAGUAAACCUUACAAGAACAUCAAACCAAUGUCAUUUGUAAUGGAGAACCUAUGCUAAAUGACAUGCCAUUGAAAGUUUAUGAUAACAAGCUCAAACUUUUUAUUAAUUUUGGCACUGCUAUCACAGCCAUGGACAUCCCGGAGAUUCCACAUCACAGCUUCAAUUUCAAGCCAUUUAGAGAUUUCUUAAAUGGGGAUUUUGAAGUCGACCGCUUAUAUGAUAUGAUUGGUGUUAUCCACCAAAUUCACAGGACCCAAGUUGUUGGAGCUGGCUAAAAGGCUUGCAUCAAACUUACAUUAUACGAUGAAAGGAAUGAUGUGGUUAUGAAAGCAACCAUUGGAGUUCUUGGAGAUAUAACUGAUACAUUUGGAAGCAAUGCCGAUUCUUUAAUUGAUGUUGAAACUAUUUGUAAGAUAUUGAAACUGACACUAAAUAUCUUAUGUUGAAAGAUUUUGAGAUAAAAUCUCACAAUGACAAUGAUUCAAAACCUUUUUGCUACUAUAGGACCUAAUAAAGAGAAUCCUCUGACACUGUUACAAGCAUGACACAAUGAUUGCCUCCUUAACGACUCAAAUGCUGGCCACAGGUUAAAGUUGAUAGAGAAGGAAGAAUAUGAAAUGAUGACACAUUUUUAUUUGGGUUUCUUCCUAAGCAUUGCCACACAAUUGAUACAC